GAUGAAGAACGCAGCGAAAUGCGAUAAGUAGUGUGAAUUGCAGAAUUCAGUGAAUCAUCGAGUCUUUGAACGCACAUUGCGCCCCCUGGUAUUCCGGGGGGCAUGCCUGUCCGAGCGUCAUUGCUGCCCUCAAGCACGGCUUGUGUGUUGGGCCCCGUCCUCCGAUCCCGGGGGACGGGCCCGAAAGGCAGCGGCGGCACCGCGUCCGGUCCUCGAGCGUAUGGGGCUUUGUCACCCGCUCUGUAGGCCCGGCCGGCGCUUGCCGAUCAACCCAAAUUUUUAUCCAGGUUGACCUCGGAUCAGGUAGGGAUACCCGCUGAACUUAAGCAUAUCAAUAACGGAGGA
Molecule: unclassified non-coding RNA, 345 nt
Filed under: soil metagenome
Description: partial contains 5.8S ribosomal RNA, internal transcribed spacer 2, and large subunit ribosomal RNA
Rfam family: 5.8S ribosomal RNA (bases 1-120)
Source: RNAcentral